AUUGAACGCUGGCGGCGUGCCUAACACAUGCAAGUCGAGCGGUAAGGCCCUUUCGGGGGUACACGAGCGGCGAACGGGUGAGUAACACGUGGGUGACCUGCCCUCAGCUCUGGGAUAAGCCUGGGAAACCGGGUCUAAUACUGGAUAUGACUCCAUGACGCAUGUUGUGGGGUGGAAAGCCUUGUGCGGCUGAGGAUGGGCCCGCGGCCUAUCAGCUUGUUGGUGGGGUGAUGGCCUACCAAGGCGACGACGGGUAGCCGGCCUGAGAGGGCGACCGGCCACACUGGGACUGAGACACGGCCCAGACUCCUACGGGAGGCAGCAGUGGGGAAUCUUGCGCAAUGGGCGAAAGCCUGACGCAGCGACGCCGCGUGAGGGAUGACGGCCUGGU
Molecule: ribosomal RNA, 391 nt
Filed under: uncultured bacterium
Lineage: Bacteria
Description: bacterial SSU rRNA
Rfam family: Bacterial small subunit ribosomal RNA
Source: RNAcentral